Molecule: ribosomal RNA, 253 nt
Filed under: uncultured bacterium
Lineage: Bacteria
Description: partial 16S ribosomal RNA
Rfam family: Bacterial small subunit ribosomal RNA
Source: RNAcentral
GGCGGACGGGUGAGUAACACGUGACCAACCUGUCUUUAGGAGGGGGACAACCCGAGGAAACUUGGGCUAAUACCGCAUAAAGUCCGACUAUCUCAUGGUGGACGGAUGAAAGGGGGCCUCUACUUGUAAGCUCUCACCUAAAGAGGGGGUCGCGGCGUAUCAGCUUGUUGGUGGGGUAACGGCCUACCAAGGCUACGACGCGUAGCGGGUCUGAGAGGACGACCCGUCACAUUGGGACUGAGAUACGGCCCAG